This 112-nucleotide ribosomal RNA is filed under the name Escherichia coli. RNAcentral's name for it is "partial 16S ribosomal RNA". It matches the Rfam family "Bacterial small subunit ribosomal RNA", at positions 1 to 103 of the family's 1533-position model. The record is from RNAcentral. Lineage: Bacteria; Pseudomonadati; Pseudomonadota; Gammaproteobacteria; Enterobacterales; Enterobacteriaceae.
UUAAAUUGAAGAGUUUGAUCAUGGCUCAGAUUGAACGCUGGCGGCAGGCCUAACACAUGCAAGUCGAACGGUAACAGGAAGAAGCUUGCUUAUUUGCUGACGAGUGGCGGAC